GGUUGUGGCUCAGUGGUAGAGUGCUUGCCUAUCAUAUAUGAGGCACUGGGUUUGAAUCUCAGCACCA
This 67-nucleotide transfer RNA is filed under the name Marmota monax (woodchuck). Its description in RNAcentral is "tRNA.Asp". The record is from RNAcentral. Lineage: Eukaryota; Metazoa; Chordata; Mammalia; Rodentia; Sciuridae.